CCCUUAGAUGUUCUGGGCUGCACGCGCGCUACACUGACAUACUCAGCAAGUUUCCUUUCCCGAAAGGGUUGGGUAAUCUUGUUAGUGUAUGUCGUGAUGGGGAUAGAAUAUUGUAAUUAUUGCUCUUUAACGAGGAAUUCCUAGUAAGCGCAAGUCAACAGCUUGCGCUGAUUACGUCCCUGCCCUUUGUACACACCGCCCGUCGCUCCUACCGAUUGGGUGAUCCGGUGAAUGGUUCGAACUCUGGCUAUGCUAGCUACUAGCUACGUCAGGGAAAGUUCUGUGAACCUUAUCACUUGGAGGAAGGAGAAGUCGUAACA
Molecule: ribosomal RNA, 320 nt
Filed under: uncultured eukaryote
Lineage: Eukaryota
Description: partial 18S ribosomal RNA
Rfam family: Eukaryotic small subunit ribosomal RNA
Source: RNAcentral